GUUCCGGUGGUCCAAUGGAUAUGAUUGCAGAUUCCGAUUCUGCAGAUGUGGGUUCGAUUCCCGCCCGGAAUG
Molecule: transfer RNA, 72 nt
Filed under: Clostridiales bacterium
Lineage: Bacteria; Bacillati; Bacillota; Clostridia; Eubacteriales
Description: tRNA-Arg
Rfam family: tRNA
About the family: Transfer RNA (tRNA) molecules are approximately 80 nucleotides in length. Their secondary structure includes four short double-helical elements and three loops (D, anti-codon, and T loops).
Source: RNAcentral